GAUGAAGAACGCAGCGAAAUGCGAUAAGUAGUGUGAAUUGCAGAAUUCAGUGAAUCAUCGAAUCUUUGAACGCACAUUGCGCCCCUUGGUAUUCCAUGGGGCAUGCCUGUUCGAGCGUCAUUUGUACCUUCAAGCUUUGCUUGGUGUUGGGUGUUUGUCCUGAGGGACUCGCCUUAAAGUGAUUGGCAGCCAGUGUUUGGUUUUGAAGCGCAGCACAAGUCGCGAUUCAAAGCUAUACGCCCGCUUCCACAAGCCUUUUUCACUUUUGACCUCGGAUCAGGUAGGACUACCCGCUGAACUUAAGCAUAUCAAUAAGCGGAGGA
This 323-nucleotide unclassified non-coding RNA is filed under the name soil metagenome. RNAcentral describes it as "partial contains 5.8S ribosomal RNA, internal transcribed spacer 2, and large subunit ribosomal RNA". The stretch from base 1 to 120 matches the Rfam family "5.8S ribosomal RNA", at positions 35 to 154 of the family's 154-position model. The record is from RNAcentral.